RNAcentral lists this ribosomal RNA (301 nucleotides) under uncultured bacterium. RNAcentral describes it as "partial 16S ribosomal RNA". It matches the Rfam family "Bacterial small subunit ribosomal RNA", at positions 509 to 807 of the family's 1533-position model. The record is from RNAcentral.
CAGUAGCCGCGGUAAGACAGAGGAUGCGAGCGUUAAUCGGAUUUACUGGGCGUAAAGCGUGCGUAGGCGGCUUCUUAAGUCGGAUGUGAAAUCCCUGAGCUUAACUUAGGAAUUGCAUUCGAUACUGGGAAGCUAGAGUAUGGGAGAGGAUGGUAGAAUUCCAGGUGUAGCGGUGAAAUGCGUAGAGAUCUGGAGGAAUACCGAUGGCGAAGGCAGCCAUCUGGCCUAAUACUGACGCUGAGGUACGAAAGCAUGGGGAGCAAACAGGAUUAGAUACCCGGGUAGUCCCUGUCUCUUAUAC